RNAcentral lists this ribosomal RNA (529 nucleotides) under Bacillus subtilis. RNAcentral describes it as "bacterial SSU rRNA". It matches the Rfam family "Bacterial small subunit ribosomal RNA", at positions 149 to 663 of the family's 1533-position model. The record is from RNAcentral. Lineage: Bacteria; Bacillati; Bacillota; Bacilli; Caryophanales; Bacillaceae.
CCGGCAAACCGGGGCUAAUACCGGAUGGUUGUUUGAACCGCAUGGUUCAAACAUAAAAGGUGGCUUCGGCUACCACUUACAGAUGGACCCGCGGCGCAUUAGCUAGUUGGUGAGGUAACGGCUCACCAAGGCAACGAUGCGUAGCCGACCUGAGAGGGUGAUCGGCCACACUGGGACUGAGACACGGCCCAGACUCCUACGGGAGGCAGCAGUAGGGAAUCUUCCGCAAUGGACGAAAGUCUGACGGAGCAACGCCGCGUGAGUGAUGAAGGUUUUCGGAUCGUAAAGCUCUGUUGUUAGGGAAGAACAAGUACCGUUCGAAUAGGGCGGUGCCUUGACGGUACCUAACCAGAAAGCCACGGCUAACUACGUGCCAGCAGCCGCGGUAAUACGUAGGUGGCAAGCGUUGUCCGGAAUUAUUGGGCGUAAAGGGCUCGCAGGCGGUUUCUUAAGUCUGAUGUGAAAGCCCCCGGCUCAACCGGGGAGGGUCAUUGGAAACUGGGGAACUUGAGUGCAGAAGAGGAGAGUG